Camelus dromedarius (Arabian camel) is the source of this 4904-nucleotide long non-coding RNA. RefSeq lists it as uncharacterized. The transcript is spliced from 12 exons. The record is from RefSeq and is a predicted model, not a curated record. NCBI's taxonomy places the organism in Eukaryota, Metazoa, Chordata, Mammalia, Artiodactyla, Camelidae.
UAGCAGGCUGUGCUCUUUGUCUCCCUUGACUUCUAUCAAGCACCAGAUAUAGUGUCAUCUCCGUGUGGGUGCUCUGCAAACACUAAUUGAUGGUGAUCAGGAUAAUGAUGUUGACAAAUGGCUCCAUGAAACUGAUGAAUCAUUUGCUGGAAGAGGCCACGUACAGCAAUUAUGUUGUCUUGCUUCACCAAACAGGUUACCACAAGAUAUUGAAUAUAGUUCCUUGUGCUAUACAGUGGAAACUUAUUUAUCUAUUUUUUUAUAUAAUAGUAUCUGCAAGUCUCGAACUCCCAAUUUAUCACUUCCCACCACCUUCCCCCACCAGUAACUAAAGAUGGUUCCACAUUUUAGACAAUCAGGGCUUCCUUACUCUGAAAUGCCUGUGUAAAGCCCUCCAGUGCUCCUGCUCUAAGCAGUACCCAGGACUGACAGCCCGCACGCCCACACGGCAGGGAGCUGAAGGCAGCCUCGGGCCGAUGGCCACUAGCAACUGAAGCCCUCAGUCCCUCAGCCUUUGUGGAACUGAAAUCCUGCCAACAUCACGUGAGCUUGACAGUGAAUUCUUCCCUAGUCGAUCCUUCACUCUGCCAGCCCGUCGGACACCUGGGUUACGGCCUCAAGGAGAUGCCCCAGAGCAGAGGACCUGUAUCUGGACUCCUGACCCACAAAAACUGUGAGAUAUGAAACGGCACUGUAAUGUCAUCCCACGGGCCAAGAGAGCUUGGAACACAAUACCUAGGAGAACCCAGGGAUGGUGGUCCACCAGGCUCCCUUUGGUUCCUAACAGCUUCCAGAGGAGGAACGCCCGAUGGGGAGGGAGCUUCUAUUGCCUUUGUGGAAAAUCAGUUUCCUGGGAACUGAACACACUGAAGUAUUUUCAGAGGAGAAAACUGGGCCUAUGAGGGAGAUGUGACUUGCCCAAGACCACACAAGAAUGGGGGUAGGGAAUAAACACCCAAGUGAGGUCAGCAAGCAGUUUGGUCUGAGAAACAGAGGGAUCCUGCCAGUUGCUGUUCCCAAUGAUUCAUUCCAGAACUGGGGAAAGAGCCACAGGAUGGGUCUGGGGACACAGAGGACCCAGUGCGAGACGGAGAUGAGCUAAAAUCCUAUUGAUCAUCUGAACCCCACAGAAUUCAUGGAGCAGCUGUAUGGGAACUAUGCAAACUGAAUGGUAGCAGACAGCCUGGGAAAGAAGAGCAGAAUUUGAAGCUUCAUCAAACAGGGCCAUCUUCUUCCCCGGGUCUGGGACCUCGUCCACCACCUCUGUGACCCACCACCUGGAUCCGGAUGCCCCUCGCAGACAGCUGAUGCGGACAAUCUGAAGUCCUUUCAGAAGCAGUUGGAAGACGAGACCACUGUAGAAAGAGAUGAAGGAACCCUGGAAAGAUUUCUUUUGAAACAAAGGAGCUUUGGAAAGAUGUCAACCUGGAUGAACUUGAUGUGUCCUCAAGGAAAUAUGACAUGAUGAGAACAAGGCUGCAUAUAAACCAACAAAUAUUACACAACCUACGGAAUGAGAGAAAAUACGUGCCAAUGAUGCAACUGGCAAGGGCUUAAUCACCAGAAUAUACAAACAGCUCAUACAACUCAAUAACAAAAAAACGAACAACCCAAUAAAAAAAAUGGGCAGAAGACCUACAGAGACAUUUCUCCAAAGAAAACAUAUGGAUGGUCAGUAGGCCCAUUAAAAAAUGCUCAAUAUCACUAAUUAUCAGAGGAACGCAAAUCAAAACUACAAUGAAGUAUCACCUCACACUGGUCAGAAUGGCCAUCAUUAAAAAGUCCACAAAUGACAAAUGCUGGAGAGGGUGUGGAGAAAAGGGGACCCUCCUACACUGUUGGUGGGAAUGCAGUUUGGUGCAGCCAUUAUGGAAAACAGUAUGGAGAUUCCUUAAAAACCUAAAAUCAGACUUACCAUAUGAUCCAGCAAUCCCACUCCUGGGCAUAUAUCCAAAGGAAACUCUAAUUCAAAAGGAUGCAUGCCCCCUAAUGUUCAUGGCAACACUAUUUACAACAGCCAAGACAUGGAAGCAACCUGCAUGUCUAUUGACAGAUGGUUGAAUUAAGAAGUUGUGAGAUAUAUAUAUAUAUCAUUACUCCUCAGCCACAAAAAAGAAGGAAAUAAUGCCAUUUGCAGCAACAUGAAUGGACCUGGAGAUUGCCAUACUAAGUGAAGUCAGCCAGAAAGAGAAAUAGCAUAUGAUACCACUUAUAUUUGGAACGUAAAAAAUGAUACAAAUGAACUUAUUUACAAAACAGAGACAGAUUGACAGACAUAGGAAACAAACUUAUGGUUAUCAGGGAGGAAAGGGAGGGUGGAGGGAUAAAUUGGGAAUCUGGGGUUUGCACAUACUAACUGUAUUAACUACUAUAUAUAAAACAAACAACAAGGUCCUACUGUGUAGCGCAGGGAACUAUACUCAAUACCUGUAAUAGCCUAUGUGAAUGAAAUACACUGCCACCCGUAUCAGUAACCAUUAUGCUGUGACCAUCAAGUCAUCAGGGGCUACCGCCACCCCCCUGACAGUGAGCAGAGGGAACUCAGGAUGCAGACAAGCAGGCGGCCCGGCCUCUGCAGCCACCCCCAGCGGCGCCCCCUGAGGGAACACGGGAUGGGAAAGAACAGGGCACUGGCCCUAGACAGCCAGGUGCACAUCAAAGGGAUGAUUUCAGCAAGCCCAGACCUGGGCACCUUCCCAUACAUAGAAAGGCGCUAAUUUCCUUAACUUGAGAUGUCUGGUUUCCUUUAACUGACAGUAAUAUUUUGAUGUGGUCUUUGUUGCAAAAACUCAUGUAUCCUGGCUUCUACCUUGCCACUUUAGAACAGCCUCUCCGAGUGAUCUGAGAGCUCGUGUCCCGGGACUGAGUCCUCAGAAAGUCCGCCAAAUAAAACAUAACUCUCAACUUUUAGGUGGGGCAUUUUAUUUCAGUCAACACUUAUAAUGAAAAAGAAUAUGAAAAGGUAUAUAUAUGUGUGUAUACAGUGAUUCACAACUGAAUCACUAUGCUGUACACCAGAAAUUAACACAACAUUGUAAACCGACUAUACUGCAAUAAAAAGAAAAAAAGAAAAGGAAACAGAAGGGUGAAAGUGCACCUGGAGUGAAAGAAAAAGGGUCAAAAAAUGAGAAUGUAUAGGGUUUUGCCACUGUUCUGCACCGUUCUCUUGUUAAUUUGGCCCUGAAUGUGGAAGGCACCGACAAUUUGGAACAAUGAUUCUGAAUUACCUAAUCAAAAUAUUCUUGAUUGUAUAUUGAUGUACCGCUAUUCAGAUUCAUAUAAUCUCUUUGAUAAGUUUGAUUGGCGCUAAUCUGUUCCGUAGCCUCUAAACUGGUUUGAUUCUUCUCGGGACCCCGCAAUCUAUGGGAGGGGGCAGGACACUUUAGGCCUGCCAGUUAACUGUAUUGUGGUUUAAACGGAACAUUUUGAACUUGAGCAUUUGAUCUAUUUAAAUGCUAUUAAAUCGCAUUAUUUGAUCUAUUAAACCGUAUCAGGACUGGUUUAAAUAUUCUCUUACGUAUGGCUCUCAGACAGAAGCUCAGUCUCUGAGAUGUCACCCGUCUCUCUUCUACGACAUGGUGUCCCAGAGAAUGAAGCUGGUUACGCAUAAUAAAGAGUUUGCCUGGCCUUUGUCCCCGGUUCCUGGGACAGAGACUAAACCCUAGGAAUUUCCUGAGUAAUAGGUGUGACUUUGUUAUUCCUGAGCCUCUGGGGUCACACCAGAGUUUGUCCUAACAAGAUGACUCAGAAUGGAGACUGGUCACCAGAAGGACCAGCCAUGUGAUUAGAAGGGUGAGGUUCUGAGUCACCCUGGCCUCGGGGAAGAAGAGGGGAGCUGGAGACGGAGUUCCAUCACGUGGCCAGUGACUCUACCACUCGGUGGAGCUUCCCGGUUGGUGGACCCACUAAUGUGCUGGGAGGAGAAUGUGCCCCGAUUCCACGGAGGGAGGGCAUGGAAGCUCGGGGUUCCAGGCCUCGCCCUGUGUGAUUCUUCAUUUGUCUGGUCCUGAUUUGGAUCCUUUAUAAUAAAACUGUACUUAUAAGGGUGGUUCUUUCUUGAGUUCAAUGAGUCAGUCAUUCCAGUGAAUUUUUGAAACUAAGGGAAGUCAUGGGGACCUCCUGGACUUGUAGUCAUUUGGUCAGAUGUGCAGGUGGCCUGGGCAUCCCUGACCGUGUGGCUGGCAUCUCAGAGGGAGAAAGUCUUGUCGGGGACUCUGCCCUUUAACCCGAGGAGUCUGACGCUCACUUCGGGGGUUUGCAUCAGAACUGAAUUGUGUCGCCUUACACAAAGGCUGUGCUCAUGGCGGACGAGGAGAGAGAUCUGCUCGGCCUGGUGUCCUUGGGAGUCCUGCUGGGCCACAUCCCCCAGAUCCUGUGCCCUCUGAGGAAGCCAUUCCCAAGUCUGGCUAAGCAGCAGAAUCUCCCGGGUAACCUGCUAAAAAUACAAAAGUCCCUGAGCCCCAGACCAGACCCAGAGAGUUGGAAUCUCUGGAAGGGGAGUCCAGGGGUCCAUACAUUUUAGAAGGUUUUCUGGGUGAUUCGGACCAGCACGGAGGCUUGGAAACCACUGCUUCAGGAUGAGCUGUGCAUUUUCCCUAGGCCCACCUCAGUGAGAACAAGGAAUGCGACGAGGCAGAGGGGUGAGGUACACGGAGGACUCGCUCUGUACCAGCUCCUAGCCUGGGAGCUUUUACGUCAGCACAUCCAAUCUCAAUGACCUCGAGAAACAGAUGGUAGCAAACCCAUUACUACAGAUGAGAAAACCAGAGCUCAAGCAAGGGGUUAGGGCCCUUGUCCAAGGUCCCCACUGGUAACAGAACCAGCUUUGCUAUCUUUUGAAGCUCAUAUUCCUUUUACUUAACCCAUGUACGUUUAAUGCUAGUUACAAUAAAUGAAUAUUUAUA